This 253-nucleotide ribosomal RNA is filed under the name uncultured bacterium. Its description in RNAcentral is "partial 16S ribosomal RNA". It matches the Rfam family "Bacterial small subunit ribosomal RNA", at positions 524 to 776 of the family's 1533-position model. The record is from RNAcentral.
GACGAAGGGGGCUAGCGUUGUUCGGAAUUACUGGGCGUAAAGCGUGUGUAGGUGGUUGCCGUAGUCAGGCGUGAAAGCCUUGAGCUCAACUCAAGAAAUGCGCUUGAUACUGGGCAGCUAGAGGACCGGAGAGGAUAGUGGAAUUCCCAGUGUAGUGGUGAAAUACGUAGAGAUUGGGAAGAACACCAGUGGCGAAGGCGGCUAUCUGGACGGUUUCUGACACUAAGACACGAAAGCGUGGGGAGCAAACAGG